Molecule: ribosomal RNA, 322 nt
Filed under: Calliptamus barbarus
Lineage: Eukaryota; Metazoa; Arthropoda; Insecta; Orthoptera; Acrididae
Description: partial 16S ribosomal RNA
Rfam family: Bacterial large subunit ribosomal RNA
Source: RNAcentral
UGAAUGGCUUGACGAGAAAUCAACUGUCUCUUAAUAAUUUUUAAAAUUUAACUUUUGAGUCAAAAGGCUUAAAUUUUUCUUUAGGACGAGAAGACCCUAUAGAGCUUGACAUUUUAUUUUUAUAUAGUUUUUAGUUGAUCUUUCUAUAUUUAAUGAUAAUGUUUUGUUGGGGUGACAUGAAGAAUAAUUAAACUCUUCAUUAUAAAAUCAUUGAUUUAUGUUUAUCAUGAUCCAUAAUUUAUGAUCAUAAGAUUAAGUUACCUUAGGGAUAACAGCGUAAUUGUUUUCGAGAGCUCAUAUCGACAAAGCAGAUUGCGACCUC